Molecule: ribosomal RNA, 377 nt
Filed under: uncultured bacterium
Lineage: Bacteria
Description: bacterial SSU rRNA
Rfam family: Bacterial small subunit ribosomal RNA
Source: RNAcentral
UAAUACGUAGGUGUCAAGCGUUGUCCGGAUUUAUUGGGCGUAAAGCGCCCGCAGGCGGCCUGGCAAGUUUCAGGUGAAAUCUCCCGGCUUAACCGGGAGGGUGCUUGGAAAACUGCCAGGCUUGAGGCAGAGAGAGGGAUGUGGAAUUCCCGGUGUAGUGGUGAAAUGCGUAGAUAUCGGGAGGAACACCAGUGGCGAAGGCGGCAUCCUGGCUCUGUCCUGACGCUCAGGGGCGAAAGCGUGGGGAGCAAACCGGAUUAGAUACCCGGGUAGUCCACGCCGUAAACGAUGAGUACUAGGUGUAGGGGGUAUCGACCCCCUCUGUGCCGAAGCUAACGCGAUAAGUACUCCGCCUGGGGACUACGGCCGCAAGGCUA